Molecule: long non-coding RNA, 999 nt
Filed under: Heterocephalus glaber (naked mole-rat)
Lineage: Eukaryota; Metazoa; Chordata; Mammalia; Rodentia; Bathyergidae
Description: lncRNA (ENSHGLG00000045737.1)
Source: RNAcentral
CGGUGGACACGCCCACCUGGCAGUGUCUUGGGGCAUCUUCCCUGUCAAUUAAUAACAAUUGAUUUUCUUACAGUGAUUUUAUCAUAGUGUUGCUCAGUGGAGACUCCAGCUGGCUGUGGGGCCUCUGGGGAGAGAGGGGUCCAGACAGGGUUGUUGCCACAGACAGGCUGGGCUGAGGGCCCCAAGGGAGGCAAACUGCCUCCUGCCCAGGGUCACAGGGUCCAGGAAAGCAGCAUCCCCUUCCUUCCGAUCUCUGAGCCAGGCGGGGAAGAGCUCAGUACCCGUGGUGCCCAACACUGGGUGCUGCUGGAGGCGCUGACAUGGCCUCUGGGCAGCAGAGGUGGUGAGGCAGGUUUGGGGGUUCAGAGCAGCGCCUCGUGGCUGAUGAUGACCAAGGGACCCUCCUGCCCGCCUCAGCCAGCUCCCGGUCUCCUCCAGUCUGGAGAGGACGUGAGUCAGGCUUUCAGAACAGUGGCUUGCGGCACAGUGAGUCACAAUGAGAUCUUGGGUGGGGCAUACAAGUGGAUGAGGCUGAGUGGUGGCUGCAGCAUGAGCAGCUGCAUCUGAGGGUUGAGUGGCUGCUGAGGCACUGAGUCGGGCAGGAAGUGAGGUGAGGGCCCACUGAGGACUCCACAAAGACCUUCCUGGCUGCCCCAGACAGGGCUAAGGAGGAGCUGUGCUGCACGUAGCCUUGGGCCCUGCUUCACAGGAUGGGGCCGCCAGUGCCUGUGGCCCUGCCAGCCAUCUGGGUGCUAGGGGUGCUUCUCCCUGCUCCUCUGGCUGUGGGCGUUGUGCACAGCCUGCCACAGAAUCAUCUCCACAUGCACCUUCGUGCUGGGCUCGGAUUAGCAGCUGGCUGCCCUACUCCUCUACCUCUUCUUCCCCACCUGGCCUGAUGAUGCCCUUGCCCCUCAGGGAAGCAGGUGCAGAGGCCAGCAGGCAAGACUGCAGGACACUGUGAUGCUGGCAGAAACGGUGAGUGCCAGGCUUGUCCCCGGG